This 267-nucleotide long non-coding RNA is filed under the name Mustela putorius furo (domestic ferret). Its description in RNAcentral is "lncRNA (ENSMPUG00000023900.1)". Lineage: Eukaryota; Metazoa; Chordata; Mammalia; Carnivora; Mustelidae. The record is from RNAcentral.
UACUCUUCCAAUUGAACUUAUAAUUUUUGAUUUUAUGUGGUUGUUUUAUUAGACAGACUGGACUUCAGAAGUUAGAAUCAGCAAUCGGCAUUAGUAUUUUCCAAGCACUGCCUUCAACUAGACUCUGGGUUACUUUCUCCAACUCAGCAAGAUAUCUUCAGCAAAUGUCACAUACUUGCAGCAGAGAGCAGAGAGAGGAAGCCACGUCUCUCAUGACACUUAUAAAGGCACUAAUGCCAUUCAUUGGAGCCCCUCUCAUGAUCUUAC